UUACUAUGCUACUGUUCUGUUCCAUGUGUUUAAGGGGACUGGGUCCCCCCACUGAACUGAGAUAAGCAGGUAGCUCCUGCCAGGUGGGGCUUGUGUAUUACAAGAGAAGCCAUCUGUUAGAUGAGGCCAUCGUCUCAGUGCUGAUGUACUGGAUGAAAAUGAAGCUUCUUGGCUGUCGGUGUAUGGAGCAGAGAGAUGCUGAUCCUGAUAUUGCUGAUGACCACACAGAGAUGUCAGAAUGAGACCUAUUGGGCUUAUGUUCCUGAUCCACCAAUUUUACAUCCUGCAACUUGGGAAGGAAAAGCAAUAACACCAGGCUUUUAGAUCCACCUGCCACCCAAGUGUUCCAGAUUGCUCGCAAUUUUUCUUAUAUUGGAUAUGGCAAAGGGAUUACUGUAUGUUUUGCAAAAAAAAAAAAUAUAUUACUUUUUUUGCAAAAGGAUGUCUUGGAGUGUUUCCAAAACAAGUAUUGGGACAUGAUAAACAAUGUACACAUAAUACAAAGUUAUUUUUUUCCUCAAGAUAAUUGAAUAAGUAAUAUUUCACCCCCCUCAAUGCACAAAAGAGUUUCGAGAGUCUAACAGAACCUUGUUAUGGAGACAAUAUACAUUGUUCUCUAAGCAAUAUACAUUGUUCUCUGGCAUUGUUCCUUUAAAGUAUAACAUCACAGGGACACAGUAACAUAUUCUUGACUAGUCCAGAAAUCAAGAUGAUUAUAGUGACUCUUAUCCUGUGUCUACAGCAGAAUCUUGGGACCAAGGACUGUCAGAUCUGUUUGGAGCGGCACCUGGAGGAAGGCAGAAGUACUCAGGGGCCCUGACUCUUCAAAAGAAACCCUGGGUGGGCGGCCCGUGGUCCCAUCCCUCCCUUCUGCGUGUGUGGUUGUUUGGGGAACAGUUCCCGGGGAAUGGGUGGCUCUCCAGAUGGUCAGAGAGGAAAUCGGAGAAGUUUCAUGUACUCCAUCUGCCUGUGUGCAUCAUGCCCACCAUCCUCAGCCCCCAGCCCGCCCAGAGCCUCCAGUUCCCACAGACAGAUGCCUGUGAACAAACCCCCUCUUCACUCUCCUGGGAGCCCCGUUUUCCCAGCUGGCCAGCUGUCAAGCCCAUGAGCUGCUGGCUCUGCGUCAUCACGUGCUCCAGGCCAGAUGGUACCUGUCAACAUCAGCUGCCAUGCUGCUGUGACGGGCAGCAGCCUCACACAUGUCCCUGUGCGUAAGAGGUACGGCCUGACCCAGCUUCACUCCCUCUCUGCCCUGCUCUGCACCCCCACCCUAAUGCCGUCACCACCCUGCCUACAUGUGUCCUCAGCGU
Non-coding RNA from Peromyscus maniculatus bairdii (prairie deer mouse), 1310 nucleotides. The record is from RefSeq and is a predicted model, not a curated record. NCBI's taxonomy places the organism in Eukaryota, Metazoa, Chordata, Mammalia, Rodentia, Cricetidae.